AUGAGAACUUGUUCUCAACUAGCCUACCUGGUUAAAUAAAGGUGAAAUAAAAAUAAACAUUUUCCCUAUAUCCAUGUAGUACAUGAGGACACAGUGCGAUGCACAGUGCUUGCUUUGUAAGUAAGCAAGGUGUGAAUCUAUCUUGUGAUUAAACAGACUUAUUGUAGGUUAUUUGACUGAUUUACAGAUCAUGGACUAUUUUUCUGUUUUAUAUUAGGAUACUUUUUUAAUAGAUUUAAAUGUUUCCAUAUCUCAGUGUCUUUAGAGUAUCCUGUGAGGCAGAUCAACGUGCCCUAUGGUCAGGAGGAGAGCAGCAGCUUGAAGGUUUUGGGGGAAACAUUUCCCCCAGAUGAAUCCAAAUGUAGAGGCCUUUAAGACGGGCAGGAGGAGGAGACUUGUUCCCCUACAAAAAAAAGAGUUGUUGUCAAGACAAUGGAGGAUAGAGAUGGUGUGGUUGAAUUGGUGGCUCAACAAUUUGUCCAAGGGAGCAUGCAGGUGGUCUUGGAGCAGUUCAAAUAUGGUCCCAACUCUCUUGGGCUGCUCAAAGCAUUGGGGAACCACCCGGACAGCCUCCGAGCACUUUUUGUGGGGACCUGCGGGAUCUGUUUAAAAUAACCUGUUCCAUGCCUGGCGGCAACCGGCGGUGUUUGGAGAACGACACCGUCUGCCACUGGUUCAACUGGCUGGCUGAGGUGGAAGAUGGAGAAUGUCCUCCUCUAACAGUGGCGAUGGUGUUGGAGUUUGCUACUGGGGCAACGGUGAUGCCACCCCUUGGGUUUGAGGACACCCCGACCAUCGAAUUCCUCACACACAGCGCGAGGGAGUCUCGCUAGGCAGUAGAAGAAAAAGUACCCAGUGGCAAACACGUGUGCUGUGACACUAAGGCUCCCUCUUCAUAGCACCUACAAUGCCUUUAGGGAAUUCAUGACCUCCGGUAUUGUGAAUUCCCCACAUUUCGGUGUUGCAUAAAAACAUUUUUACGACACAUAAUUGUAUCUAGUAGCACUAAACUACAGUAGCAAUUGAGUGUCUGAAAAUGUAACAGCACAUCGACAUUUAAGCAUUUAUCUACUUGUUUGUAUGGUAUUCAGACCUCUUGCCUUUUUAUUACGUUACAGCCUUAUUAAAAAACGGAUAAAAUUUUCCCCCUCAUCAAUCUACACACAAUACCCCAUA
Long non-coding RNA from Oncorhynchus tshawytscha (Chinook salmon), 1176 nucleotides. RefSeq lists it as uncharacterized. The record is from RefSeq and is a predicted model, not a curated record. Lineage: Eukaryota; Metazoa; Chordata; Actinopteri; Salmoniformes; Salmonidae. The transcript is spliced from 3 exons.